UUGGAGUGUUUCCAGCAAUUGGAGACCUCCUCCCUGAGUUCUUAAGUGUUUCUCAACACAAGAACCACUUCAACACUUGAACUCUUGAUCCUUUGAGCUUUUUUUAAUCAUUUGAACAAGACAUAUACGCAAUACCAAGAUUUCAAUUAUUCAAGCAUGCAACACAUAGAAUCGCAUCCUGGCUUUAGACUUCUCUAAACAAAAAAGACAAUUUCAUGUAUUCUUUGUAUUGUAAAACAAUGUUAACAAUAAUGAAACAACUUAGUACCAUUGGUUGUGAGCCACUUGUAACGUGACUCCCCGAUAUUUCCGUCGUGUGUUGUUCUAUUACGCAAUUGGGGUGUUACAAAGGUUGUGAUGGUCUUCUUCUUGACGGAUGUUUAUGUACACGUUGUUGCUUCUUUGUACUUCAGUCACAAUCCUAUUUUUGGUCUUUGAUUGUUAUCCUGCAUUGCUGUUAAUGCACUAUUCAAAUCAUUAG
RNAcentral lists this long non-coding RNA (481 nucleotides) under Helianthus annuus (common sunflower). RNAcentral describes it as "sRNA HanXRQr2_Chr17g0810241". The record is from RNAcentral. Lineage: Eukaryota; Viridiplantae; Streptophyta; Magnoliopsida; Asterales; Asteraceae.